This 938-nucleotide ribosomal RNA is filed under the name uncultured cyanobacterium. RNAcentral describes it as "bacterial SSU rRNA". It matches the Rfam family "Bacterial small subunit ribosomal RNA", at positions 56 to 1037 of the family's 1533-position model. The record is from RNAcentral. Lineage: Bacteria; Bacillati; Cyanobacteriota.
UGCAAGUCGAACGGUGUCUUCGGACAUAGUGGCGGACGGGUGAGUAACGCGUGAGAAUCUGCCUUCAGGUUGGGGACAACAGUUGGAAACGACUGCUAAUACCCAAUGUGCCGAGAGGUGAAAGCUUUAGUGCCUGAAGAUGAGCUCGCGUCUGAUUAGCUAGUUGGUGGGGUAAUGGCUUACCAAGGCGACGAUCAGUAGCUGGUCUGAGAGGAUGAUCAGCCACACUGGGACUGAGACACGGCCCAGACUCCUACGGGAGGCAGCAGUGGGGAAUUUUCCGCAAUGGGCGCAAGCCUGACGGAGCAAGACCGCGUGAGGGAGGAAGGCUCUUGGGUUGUAAACCUCUUUUAUCAGGGAAGAAGAUCUGACGGUACCUGAUGAAUCAGCAUCGGCUAACUCCGUGCCAGCAGCCGCGGUAAUACGGAGGAUGCAAGCGUUAUCCGGAUUUAUUGGGCGUAAAGCGUCCGCAGGUGGUUUUUCAAGUCUGCUGUUAAAGCGCGAGGCUUAACUUCGUAACGGCGGUGGAAACUGAGAGACUAGAGUAUGGUAGGGGUAGCGGGAAUUCCCAGUGUAGCGGUGAAAUGCGUAGAUAUUGGGAAGAACACCAGCGGCGAAAGCGCGCUACUGGGCCAUAACUGACACUCAUGGACGAAAGCUAGGGGAGCGAAAGGGAUUAGAUACCCCUGUAGUCCUAGCUGUAAACGAUGGGUACUAGGUGUUGACCGUAUCGACCCGGUCAGUGCCGUAGCUAACGCGUUAAGUACCCCGCCUGGGGAGUAUGCACGCAAGUGUGAAACUCAAAGGAAUUGACGGGGGCCCGCACAAGCGGUGGAGUAUGUGGUUUAAUUCGAUGCAACGCGAAGAACCUUACCAGGGCUUGACAUGUCGCGAAUCCCGGUGAAAGUCGGGAGUGCCUUCGGGAGCGGCGAACACAG